UACCUUGUAGCUCAGUUGGCUAGAGCGUUGGCUGUAAUAAAGCCUUCCCCUUGCUGGCGUGGGUUCAAAUCCCACCGAGGCCA
This 83-nucleotide transfer RNA is filed under the name Schistocephalus solidus. It matches the Rfam family "tRNA". From Rfam's summary of the family: Transfer RNA (tRNA) molecules are approximately 80 nucleotides in length. Their secondary structure includes four short double-helical elements and three loops (D, anti-codon, and T loops). Lineage: Eukaryota; Metazoa; Platyhelminthes; Cestoda; Diphyllobothriidea; Diphyllobothriidae. The record is from Rfam by way of RNAcentral.